This 486-nucleotide ribosomal RNA is filed under the name uncultured bacterium. Its description in RNAcentral is "partial 16S ribosomal RNA". It matches the Rfam family "Bacterial small subunit ribosomal RNA", at positions 30 to 507 of the family's 1533-position model. The record is from RNAcentral.
AUUGAACGCUGGCGGCAUGCCUUACACAUGCAAGUCGAACGGCAGCACGGGUGCUUGCACCUGGUGGCGAGUGGCGAACGGGUGAGUAAUACAUCGGAACAUGUCCUGUAGUGGGGGAUAGCCCGGCGAAAGCCGGAUUAAUACCGCAAACGAUCCACGGAUGAAAGCGGGGGACCUUCGGGCCUCGCGCUAUAGGGUUGGCCGAUGGCUGAUUAGCUAGUUGGUGGGGUAAAGGCCUACCAAGGCGACGAUCAGUAGCUGGUCUGAGAGGACGACCAGCCACACUGGGACUGAGACACGGCCCAGACUCCUACGGGAGGCAGCAGUGGGGAAUUUUGGACAAUGGGCGAAAGCCUGAUCCAGCAAUGCCGCGUGUGUGAAGAAGGCCUUCGGGUUGUAAAGCACUUUUGUCCGGAAAGAAAUCCUUGACUCUAAUACAGUCGGGGGAUGACGGUACCGGAAGAAUAAGCACCGGCUAACUACGUG